Molecule: long non-coding RNA, 710 nt
Filed under: Homo sapiens (human)
Lineage: Eukaryota; Metazoa; Chordata; Mammalia; Primates; Hominidae
Description: non-protein coding lnc-SIN3A-5:4
Source: RNAcentral
GAUGGAUCUGUCAGAACACGGCUUUGGGCUGGCCCUGCUCAACGACUGCAAGUAUGGCGCGUCAGUGCGAGGCAGCAUCCUCAGCCUCUCGCUGUAAGUGGGGUACCCACCAGGCCUGGGAGCUGGCAUGGAGAAAUGGGUCUUCCCGACCACAACUCCAACAGCUUCAGCGUGGCCCCUACGCGCCCUCCUCACCCCAGCUUGCGGGCGCCUAAAGCCCCGGACGCUACUGCUGACACGGGGCGCCACGAGUUCACCUAUGCACUGAUGCCGCACAAGGCCCCCAGCCCAGCGCCCGCCACCUCCUGGAGUGCGUUUUCCGUGUCUUCACCCGCGGUCGUAUUGGAGACCGUCAAGCAGGCAAGGGCAGCCCCCAGCGCCGCUCGCUGGUCCUGAGGCUGUAUGAGGCCCACGGCAGCCACGUGGACUGCUGGCUGCACUUGUCGCUGCCGGUUCAGGAGGCCAUCCUCUGCGAUCUCUUGGAGCGACCAGACCCUGCUGGCCACUUGACCCUUCGGGACAACCGCCUGAAGCUCACCUUUUCUCCCUUCCAAGUGCUGUCCCUGUUGCUCGUGCUUCAGCCUCCGCCACACUGAGUCCCUGGGGCUGGGGUUUUGUUUGUAGAAGGCUCUGGGGACUCCUAAUUUCUGCUUCCCCAGCCUAAAGCAGGGAUCAGUCUUUUCUUGUGGAAUAAAUCCUUGGAUCGGGAA